UUCUCAGAUUCAGGUCCGGCUGAGAUUCGUGGAAUUUAUGGUAAUACCAUUGUUGUCUUCUGCCGUUCCAGGUCCAGGCGGAUCCAGGCUUGUCGCUGAACCAGUUUGAACGUCGAACGAUAAUGCAGAUUCGGUUGGUACCGUCACCGGCGGACGAUAAAUUGGACACGGCCGGCAACCAUGCUCUCCUCGCGACUCCGUCGAUAUUCAGAAAUAGGUGGCCAACAAUGAUUUCCUAAGUUUACAUUUCACCGUGGCUCGCACGGCUUCCAGCUUAUCUGAAGCUUAGACGUCAGUGAUUGUUUCCUUUUAAAUGAUUAUCACUAUCUUUGUUAGCACAAACGCCUAAGUCAAUAAGGACUUUGAUUGUUCCUUAAGCUAAUGUGCGCAUACAAGAGAGAUUAAAAUGGAUCUUAUUGUACUCGUAUGUAUUCCGCGCUCGAUCUACCCGAGCAAGCUGUUUGUUUUGAACAGAUACGGGACAAUAAGAUUUUUUCUAUUCGAGCGUCGAUACGCUGCUGAAAUUUAGGAAAGCGUGUAUUUGGGCGCGGUCGUUCGGAGAAACUGAUGUUAGCUUUAUGUAUGUCGAUAAAGAAAAUUGCUCUACCGUUUUCUCGAUUCCUUUCGUCGUUAUUUAUUUAAAUAAUUGACUUCGGAAACGCCCACAAAAAAAUCAACGUAAUUUAAUUAAUUAAACACAAACUAGAAAGUUGAAAUUGUUCAUAGUGGGUGCUAACCGAACUCUUCCGUAUUCUAAAGGUCCUAGUAAAGUUCAAUUGUAUUAUUUUUUAAUUUACUAUUACAAUCUUUACUCUAUUACAAACUAUACUAAAUUCAAAAAAUAAAUUUUCAACUUAUUGAAAGAUAGAGAAAUAAAGCUGGUAAUUAACGUGGGUUACUCUAUAAGAA
Molecule: non-coding RNA, 909 nt
Organism: Megalopta genalis
Lineage: Eukaryota; Metazoa; Arthropoda; Insecta; Hymenoptera; Halictidae
Source: RefSeq, a predicted model, not a curated record